UGCACAUCAACCAGAUAUGUGCCACUGUUUCCAACUUUUCAUCAACAAAAAGGCCUUUCCAACUCCUUCCAAAUUAGAAGACCAGUUGGUGACACACAGCACCUCUGGACAUGCCCCCUGUGCGGGGCCGGAGGCGGGCCGGGCCCUGGGACUGCUCUCAGAUGAGAAGCGGCCGCCGAGCUCCCCACUCCAGAGACCCACGGGAACCUUUGUAACUAACCCCACCCCCAGGGAAGGCUAGGAGCGCCGGAGCCCGCGCUGGGGGCUGCCGGGGACCAGGCCCGGCCGGACGCUGCAGGCUCGCUGCAUGGAGAAGAAGGCAGCUCGGCCCCACGCCCGGCGCUGGCCAGCGCGACGAGGCCCAGAGGGGCGGGGGAGUCCAAGCCCGCCCGGCCCGGCUGCUCCUGGGGGGCGCUUUCCUGCCCCUCCCCUCCUCUGCUCCUUCCUGCAUGGACCUCUGCCGUUCCUGCUCCUGCUCCGGAAGCCGCCGCCGCCGCCGCGCUUGCCUUGCCCCCUCUUUUUGGCCUCCCCCUAUUUCCUAGGAUCCGCAUUCGGGUGGACUCUGCCCCAGGAGCUUGACAGGGUGCAGGGCCUCUUCUGGCCUCUCUCCUCUCUCUGUCCAUCCACUGUGCCCCUUGGGCCACGCCGACGCGCUCGGUGCCACGUGCCGUGUGGUGUCUGUGCCGCAGACGGGCCAUCUGCCCGCUCACUUGUGGACUUUGCGCUCCCGGUUGUCGCGCCCUGUGCUCCCGACCAGCAGCCCCACCGUCCACCUCCUCGCCCCCGCUUCUCUUACGCCCCCGCCCCGGGCGUGCUCCUCGCGCCCUCGGCCUCUCUGUCCUUGCUCUUUUGUAAGGGGCGGGCCCGGCUCAGUGACCUGUGCU
This 884-nucleotide long non-coding RNA is filed under the name Pan troglodytes (chimpanzee). Its description in RNAcentral is "long non-coding RNA NONPTRT015953". The record is from RNAcentral. Lineage: Eukaryota; Metazoa; Chordata; Mammalia; Primates; Hominidae.